UACGUAGGGUGCGAGCGUUGUCCGGAAUUAUUGGGCGUAAAGAGCUCGUAGGCGGUAUGUCGCGUCUGCUGUGAAAGACCGGGGCUUAACUUCGGUUUUGCAGUGGAUACGGGCAUGCUUGAGGUAGGUAGGGGAGACUGGAAUUCCUGGUGUAGCGGUGAAAUGCGCAGAUAUCAGGAGGAACACCGGUGGCGAAGGCGGGUCUCUGGGCCUUACCUGACGCUGAGGAGCGAAAGCAUGGGUAGCCAACAGGAUUAGAUACCCUGGUA
This 269-nucleotide ribosomal RNA is filed under the name uncultured prokaryote. RNAcentral's name for it is "partial 16S ribosomal RNA". It matches the Rfam family "Bacterial small subunit ribosomal RNA", at positions 524 to 792 of the family's 1533-position model. The record is from RNAcentral.